CACGUAGGGCGCAAGCGUUGUCCGGAAUUAUUGGGCGUAAAGAGCUCGUAGGCGGUCUGUUGCGUCCGCUGUGAAAACCCGGGGCUUAACCCCUGGCUUGCAGUGGAUACGGACAGACUAGAGGUAGGUAGGGGAGAAUGGAAUUCCCGGUGUAGCGGUUAAAUGCGCAGAUAUCGGGAGGAACACCGGUGGCGAAGGCGGUUCUCUGGGCCUUACCUGACGCUGAGGAGCGAAAGCGUGGGGAGCGAACAGG
This 253-nucleotide ribosomal RNA is filed under the name uncultured bacterium. RNAcentral's name for it is "partial 16S ribosomal RNA". It matches the Rfam family "Bacterial small subunit ribosomal RNA", at positions 524 to 776 of the family's 1533-position model. The record is from RNAcentral.